UACCUGGUUGAUCCUGCCAGUAGCAUAUGCUUGUCUCAAAGAUUAAGCCAUGCAUGUCUAAGUACAAGCCGCUAGACGGCGAAACCGCGAAUGGCUCAAUAAAUCAGUUAUGGUUCCUUAGAUCCACUCCAUCCUACUUGGAUAACUGUGGUAAUUCUAGAGCUAAUACAUGCACUCGAGCCUCGACUGCGGGCUUUCGGGCUCGCAGAAGAGGUGCUUUUAUUAGAUCAAAACCAGUCGGGGCCGGGCUUUCGGGCUCGCGCACCGUACCAAUUUUGGUGACUCUGGAUAACUUCACGCCGAUCGCACGGCCUUCGCGCCGGCGACGUAUCUUUCAAAUGUCUGCCUUAUCAACUGUCGAUGGUAGGUUACGCGCCUACCAUGGUUGCAACGGGUAACGGGGAAUCGGGGUUCGAUUCCGGAGAGGGAGCCUGAGAAACGGCUACCACAUCCAAGGAAGGCAGCAGGCGCGCAAAUUACCCACUCCCGGCACGGGGAGGUAGUGACGAAAAAUAACGAUACGGGACUCUUCCGAGGCCCCGUGAUUGGAAUGAGUACACUUUAAAUCCUUUAACGAGGAACCAUUGGAGGGCAAGUCUGGUGCCAGCAGCCGCGGUAACUCCAGCUCCAAUAGCGUAUAUUAAAGUUGUUGCGGUUAAAAAGCUCGUAGUCGGAUGUCUGUCUUCGGCCGGGCGGCGCCGCUCUGAAUCAAGGGUGUUGCGUUUCACGCUCUGGGAGCCCGGGUGUCAAAGCCCGACUCUCUUCACGGUCGGACAACAUCGCCGGAGUGGUGGUCGGUGCGUCGUUGUUGUAUCUGCGGCCAGAGUUGGAAAGUUCUUUCGGGUUCUUUUUUAAAUUUUGGUCGUAGUUGACUCGAUUCGCUCCACCCAGUCAAUCGUUCGGGGUGCCCUUCACCGGGUGUCUCGGGCGGCCGGCAACGUUUACUUUGAACAAAUUAGAGUGCUCAAAGCAGGUGUAUCCCAACGCCUGAAUAUCGCAGCAUGGAAUGAUGGAAUAGGACCUCGGUCCGAUUUUGCUGGUCUUUUACUUUUGGACCCGAGGUAAUGGUCAAUAGAGACGGACGGGGGCAUUCGUACUGCGGCGACAGAGGUGAAAUUCUUGGACCGCCGCAAGACGAACAACAGCGAAGGCAUUUGCCAAGAAUGUUUUCCUUGAUCAAGAACGAAAGUUAGAGGUUCGAAGGCGAUCAGAUACCGCCCUAGUUCUAACCAUAAACGAUGCCAACCAGCAAUCCGUCGGAGUUACUCCAAUGACUCGACGGGCAGCUUCCGGGAAACCAAAGUCUUUGGGUUCCGGGGGAAGUAUGGUUGCAAAGCUGAAACUUAAAGGAAUUGACGGAAGGGCACCACCAGGAGUGGAGCCUGCGGCUUAAUUUGACUCAACACGGGAAACCUCACCAGGCCCGGACACUGGAAGGAUUGACAGAUUGAGAGCUCUUUCUUGAUUCGGUGGGUGGUGGUGCAUGGCCGUUCUUAGUUGGUGGAGCGAUUUGUCUGGUUAAUUCCGAUAACGAACGAGACUCUAGCCUGCUAAAUAGGUGACGGGUUUUAUCAAUUGAAACCGAAGGGAGUACGGAGGCGUCGGGAUCAGGUGGCGGCGAUUCGGGUCUCGGUGGGACUGGUUCCUUUAGUGAGGCAAUCUCUCGGCUUGGUUUCGUUGUGCUUUGUUCGUCGGGUGUACGGCCUUCACGGGUUGGUUGCCUGGCGGAUGAGGUAUGGCGGGGCUUUGUCGGGAAUGUCUCGCGGGGGCUGGCUCUAUUGUUAUUCGGUCGUCGUCAUCCCCGGCGAUACCUUCUGCUCUCGCGUCCGUCACGCAGUCUUCUUAGAGGGACAAGCGGCGUCCAGCCGCGUGACAGUGAGCAAUAACAGGUCUGUGAUGCCCUUAGAUGUCCUGGGCCGCACGCGCGCUACACUGAAGGAAUCAGCGUGUUUCACUCUCCCUGUCCGAAAGGACCGGGUAACCGCUGAACCUCCUUCGUGGUUGGGAUUGGGGACUGCAAUGAUCCCCAUGAACCAGGAAUCCCUAGUAGGCGCGGGUCACUAGCCCGCGUCGAUUACGUCCCUGCCCUUUGUACACACCGCCCGUCGCUACUACCGAUUGAAUGAUUUAGUGAGGCCUUCGGACGGGCUUGUCGGGGUGCCGUCGAGUGGGGGAGCAAUCUCUGCCCGUGCGGUGCCUACCAACGGCGAGACUGAAAGAUGGUCGAACUUGAUCCUUUAGAGGAAGUAAAAGUCGUAACAAGGUUUCCGUAGGUGAACCUGCGGAAGGAUCAUAA
RNAcentral lists this ribosomal RNA (2296 nucleotides) under Daphnia pulicaria. Its description in RNAcentral is "small subunit ribosomal RNA". It matches the Rfam family "Eukaryotic small subunit ribosomal RNA". The record is from RNAcentral. Lineage: Eukaryota; Metazoa; Arthropoda; Branchiopoda; Diplostraca; Daphniidae.